This 396-nucleotide long non-coding RNA is filed under the name Fukomys damarensis (Damara mole-rat). RNAcentral's name for it is "lncRNA (ENSFDAG00000022343.1)". The record is from RNAcentral. Lineage: Eukaryota; Metazoa; Chordata; Mammalia; Rodentia; Bathyergidae.
GCCCAGAACUGAGCAGAAGCCAGUGCCAUACUCUUAGACCUCCAGAACCAUGAGCUAAGUAGACUUCUUCACAAAUUUCCCAGCCUCCGAUAUUUCAUUGCAGAAAUGGAAAACUGACCAACACAUCCCAUAUCUGAACGUCUCUGUCGGCACCUCUGGCUCUGAUGCACAGUGAACAUGCCCAUGUGCAAUAGAAAUCAGCCACACUGUAGAGGGACAUGAUGUUUGGAUCCAGUAGGACGUCGCGAACACUUUUUGAAAAGCAGACACCGUUUUGCCUCUCUGAUCUUCAGUUUCACAUCUGCAACAUGGGAUCAUUUCGCCAGCCUCCCCAAACCUUGUGCGGCAGCCAGGACAGCGCUGCCCCGUGGCAGGUGCUCAGGGAAUGAAAGCGGC